This 61-nucleotide small nucleolar RNA is filed under the name Homo sapiens (human). RNAcentral describes it as "small nucleolar RNA, C/D box 155 (SNORD155)". The record is from RNAcentral. Lineage: Eukaryota; Metazoa; Chordata; Mammalia; Primates; Hominidae.
CUUGAUGAUGACUGACAAGCUGUGCAAAAGAGCAUUUUAUCCAAGAUAUGUCUGAAGUAGA